GAUGAACGCUGGCGGCGUGCUUAACACAUGCAAGUCGAACGAAGCAUUUGCGACAGAUUUUUUCGGAAUGAAGUUGCUUAUGACUGAGUGGCGGACGGGUGAGUAACGCGUGGGUAACCUGCCUUGUACUGGGGGAUAGCAGCUGGAAACGGCUGUUAAUACCGCAUAAGCGCACAAUGUUGCAUGACAUGGUGUGAAAAACUCCGGUGGUAUAAGAUGGACCCGCGUCUGAUUAGCUAGUUGGUGAGAUAACAGCCCACCAAGGCGACGAUCAGUAGCCGAGCUGAGAGGGUGACCGGCCACAUUGGGACUGAGACACGGCCCAGACUCCUACGGGAGGCAGCAGUGGGGAAUAUUGCACAAUGGAGGAAACUCUGAUGCAGCGACGCCGCGUGAGUGAAGAAGUAAUUCGUUAUGUAAAGCUCUAUCAGCAGGGAAGAUAGUGACGGUACCGGACUAAGAAGCUCCGGCUAAAUACGUG
RNAcentral lists this ribosomal RNA (481 nucleotides) under uncultured bacterium. RNAcentral describes it as "partial 16S ribosomal RNA". It matches the Rfam family "Bacterial small subunit ribosomal RNA", at positions 28 to 507 of the family's 1533-position model. The record is from RNAcentral.